RNAcentral lists this ribosomal RNA (340 nucleotides) under uncultured bacterium. Its description in RNAcentral is "bacterial SSU rRNA". It matches the Rfam family "Bacterial small subunit ribosomal RNA", at positions 29 to 334 of the family's 1533-position model. The record is from RNAcentral.
AAUGAACGCUUGCGGCGUGGAUUAGGCAUGCAAGUCGAACGAGAUUGUAUUAAUUCAAUUCUUCGGAAGAGAAUUUUUACAUGAUAGUGGCGAACGGGUGAGGAAUACUUGAGUAAUGUGCCCCUAAGCUUGGAAUAGCCACUGGAAACGGUGAUUAAUGCCAAAUGUGAUCGUCCCUUGCAUAAGGGACUGUUUAAAGGCAGGGAUCCUUCGGGACCUGUCACUUAGGGAUCAGCUCGAGGCCUAUCAGCUUGUUGGUGAGGUAAUGGCUCACCAAGGCUAAGACGGGUAGCUGGUCUGAGAGGAUGGUCAGCCACACUGGGACUGAGACACUGCCCAG